GAUGAACGCUGGCGGCGUGCUUAACACAUGCAAGUCGAACGAACCUUCGGGUUAGUGGCGGACGGGUGAGUAACGCGUGAGAAUCUGCCCUCAGGAGGGGGAUAACGGUUGGAAACGACCGCUAAUACCCCAUAUGCCUACUGGUGAAAUGAAUUUCGCCUGAGGAUGAGCUCGCGUCUGAUUAGCUAGUUGGUGAGGUAAUGGCUCACCAAGGCUUCGAUCAGUAGCUGGUCUGAGAGGAUGAUCAGCCACACUGGGACUGAGACACGGCCCAGACUCCUACGGGAGGCAGCAGUGGGGAAUUUUCCGCAAUGGGCGAAAGCCUGACGGAGCAACGCCGCGUGAGGGACGAAGGCCUCUGGGCUGUAAACCUCUUUUCUCAAGGAAGAAGAUAUGACGGUACUUGAGGAAUAAGCCACGGCUAAUUCCGUGCCAGCAGCCGCGGUAAUACGGGAGUGGCAAGCGUUAUCCGGAAUUAUUGGGCGUAAAGCGUCCGCAGGCGGCUUUUCAAGUCUGCUGUUAAAGCCGUGGAGCUUAACUCCAUCAUGGCAGUGGAAACUGAAAGGCUUGAGUAUGGUAGGGGCAGAGGGAAUUCCCGGUGUAGCGGUGAAAUGCGUAGAUAUCGGGAAGAACACCAGUGGCGAAGGCGCUCUGCUGGGCCAUUACUGACGCUCAUGGACGAAAGCCAGGGGAGCGAAAGGGAUUAGAUACCCCUGUAGUCCUGGCCGUAAACGAUGAGCACUAGGUGUCGGGGGAAUCGACCCCUUCGGUGUCGUAGCUAACGCGUUAAGUGUUCCGCCUGGGGAGUACGCACGCAAGUGUGAAACUCAAAGGAAUCGACGGGGGCCCGCACAAGCGGUGGAGUAUGUGGUUUAAUUCGAUGCAACGCGAAGAACCUUACCAGGGUUUGACAUCCUGCGAACCUCUUAGAAAUUUGAGGGUGCCUUCGGGAAUGCAGUGACAGGUGGUGCAUGGCUGUCGUCAGCUCGUGUCGUGAGAUGUUGGGUUAAGUCCCGCAACGAGCGCAACCCACGUUUUUAGUUGCCAGCAUUUAGUUGGGCACUCUAGAAAGACCGCCGGUGAUAAACCGGAGGAAGGUGUGGAUGACGUCAAGUCAUCAUGCCCCUUACACCCUGGGCUACACACGUACUACAAUGCUACGGACAAAGGGCAGCAAACUCGCGAGAGCUAGCAAAUCCCAUAAACCGUGGCUCAGUUCAGAUCGUAGGCUGCAACUCGCCUACGUGAAGUAGGAAUCGCUAGUAAUCGCAGGUCAGCAUACUGGGGUGAAUACGUUCCCGGGCCUU
RNAcentral lists this ribosomal RNA (1307 nucleotides) under uncultured bacterium. RNAcentral describes it as "bacterial SSU rRNA". It matches the Rfam family "Bacterial small subunit ribosomal RNA", at positions 28 to 1382 of the family's 1533-position model. The record is from RNAcentral.